GGUCAUAUAGUGUAGUGGUUAUCACUCGGGAUUUUGACAUGGAUAAGCGCAUGACGUCUUCCCGAAACCCAGGUUCGAACCCUGGUAUGACCU
This is a transfer RNA of Hydnomerulius pinastri MD-312, 93 nucleotides long. It matches the Rfam family "tRNA". From Rfam's summary of the family: Transfer RNA (tRNA) molecules are approximately 80 nucleotides in length. Their secondary structure includes four short double-helical elements and three loops (D, anti-codon, and T loops). NCBI's taxonomy places the organism in Eukaryota, Fungi, Basidiomycota, Agaricomycetes, Boletales. The record is from Rfam.